AGGAGCUGAUAUCAGGCACAACCUACUGCCCAUGACAUCUAGCCAUGCCACACCCACAAGGGCCUUCAGCAGUGAUUAAUAUUAAAAAUAAACGUCAGUUUGACUUAGUCAAUGAGAACAGAGCCGGCUAAUCUGGUGCCAGCCGCCGCGGCUACACCAUGUGGCUCAAAUUGAUUUUACACGGCGUAAAGCGUGAUUAAAGAAAACAUAACCACUGGGGUUAAACUAUAACUAACUUGUGAAAUGCUUAUGCUUAGGAAAGCCUUAAUCGAAAGAUACCCCAGACUACCAACUUGAACUCACGAUAAUUAGAACACAAACUGGGAUUAGAUACCCCACUAUGCUAAUUAUAAACUUUUACUUACACCACCUAUCGCCAGGGAACUACGAGCAAAGCUUAAAACCCAAAGGACUUGACGGUGCUCCAUAUCCCCCUAGAGGAGCCUGUCCUAUAAUCGAUACUCCCCGUUCAACCUCCCCAUUUUUAGUCCUUCAGCCUGUAUACUUCCGUCACCAGCUUACCGCGUGAGCGCAUAAGUAAGCUUAAUGUUUCAAAUCAAUACGCCAGGUCAAAGUGCAGCAAAUAAAAUGGCAAGAGAUGGGCUACACUUUCUAUUUUAGAAGAUACGAAAGACUAUGUGAAACCAUAACCAGAAGGUGGAUUUAGCAGUAAGAAGAAGAGUAGAGUACCCUUCUUAACUAGGCACUGGAGUGUGUACACACCGCCCGUCACCCUCUUCAACAAGAUCUAAUUAGUAUAUAACAUUU
RNAcentral lists this ribosomal RNA (768 nucleotides) under Pristimantis jaguensis. Its description in RNAcentral is "partial 12S ribosomal RNA". It matches the Rfam family "Bacterial small subunit ribosomal RNA", at positions 353 to 1435 of the family's 1533-position model. The record is from RNAcentral. Lineage: Eukaryota; Metazoa; Chordata; Amphibia; Anura; Strabomantidae.